ACUACGAGGUGCUGCAGUCGAGAAUCAUUCACAAUGGGGGAAACCCUGAUGGUGCGACGCCGCGUGGGGGAAUGAAGGUCUUCGGAUUGUAAACCCCUGUCAUGUGGGAGCAAAUUAAAAAGAUAGUACCACAAGAGGAAGAGACGGCUAACUCUGUGCCAGCAGCCGCGGUAAUACAGAGGUCUCAAGCGUUGUUCGGAAUCACGUGGCGUAAAGCGUGCGUAGGCUGUUUCGUAAGUCGUGUGUGAAAGGCGCGGGCUCAACCCGCGGACGGCCCAUGAUACUGGGAGACUAGGGUAAUGGAGGGGGAACCGGAAUUCUCGGUGUAGCAGUGAAAUGCGUAGAUAUCGAGAGGAACACUCGUGGCGAAGGCGGGUUCCUGGACAUUAACUGACGCUGAGGCACGAAGGCCAGGGGAGCGAAAGGGAUUAGAUACCCGAGUAGUC
Molecule: ribosomal RNA, 446 nt
Filed under: uncultured bacterium
Lineage: Bacteria
Description: partial 16S ribosomal RNA
Rfam family: Bacterial small subunit ribosomal RNA
Source: RNAcentral